UAACCUGCUAAAUAGCCCGUAUUGCUUUGGCAGUACGCUGGCUUCUUAGAGGGACUAUCGGCUCAAGCCGAUGGAAGUUUGAGGCAAUAACAGGUCUGUGAUGCCCUUAGAUGUUCUGGGCCGCACGCGCGCUACACUGACGGAGCCAGCGAGUACUGGCGCAAGCCUUCCUUGGCCGAAAGGUCCGGGUAAUCUUGGGAAACUCCGUCGUGCUGGGGAUAGUCCUUUGCAAUUAUCGGACUUGAACGAGGAAUUCCUAGUAAGCGCGGUUCAUCAGAUCGCGUUGAUUACGUCCCUGCCCUUUGUACACACCGCCCGUCGCU
RNAcentral lists this ribosomal RNA (323 nucleotides) under uncultured fungus. Its description in RNAcentral is "SSU rRNA". It matches the Rfam family "Eukaryotic small subunit ribosomal RNA", at positions 1344 to 1680 of the family's 1831-position model. The record is from RNAcentral. Lineage: Eukaryota; Fungi.